AUUGAACGCUGGCGGAAUGCUUUACACAUGCAAGUCGGGCGGCAGCGCGGGGGCAACCCUGGCGGCGAGCGGCGAACGGGUGAGUAACACAUCGGAACGUACCCUAUCGUGGGGGAUAGCUCGGCGAAAGCCGGAUUAAUACCGCAUACGACCUGAGGGUGAAAGCGGGGGAUUGGUAACGACCUCGCGCGACUGGAGCGGCCGAUGGCGGAUUAGCUAGUUGGUGGGGUAAAGGCCUACCAAGGCGACGAUCCGUAGCGGGUCUGAGAGGACGGCCCGCCACACUGGGACUGAGACACGGCCCAGACUCCUACGGGAGGCAGCAGUGGGGAAUAUUGGACAAUGGGCGCAAGCCUGAUCCAGCCAUGCCGCGUGAGUGAUGAAGGCCUUAGGGUUGUAAAGCUCUUUUACCCGGGAAGAUAAUGACUGUACCGGGAGAAUAAGCCCCGGCUAACUACGUG
Molecule: ribosomal RNA, 461 nt
Filed under: uncultured bacterium
Lineage: Bacteria
Description: bacterial SSU rRNA
Rfam family: Bacterial small subunit ribosomal RNA
Source: RNAcentral